AAUGCAAAUCCACUGGAUCUCUUCUCACAGGUAGCUAUUGUUCUACCUCUUAACUUUUGAAUUCUUCCCUCAGAUAGAUGCUCCUUUGAAGUUUGAAUUGUAUUUUAUGAUCAGCUAAUUAAUAAAAUAUAUUACUAUUCUUGAAUCAAGGCCUACCAAAUGUGGGUGCAAAUGCUGGUGCUGGCAAUUUGGAUUUUCUUCGAAACAGUCAACAGGUACUUAAUUUUUUUUCCUUUCUUUUUUGCUCUGAUCCAUAUGGAGCUUUACUCUUUUUUAUUGUUGUAGUCAUGGUUGAAUUUUUUUUCUCUAACUUUCAUUGUUGUUCCAAGCAUUGUGAGCUAUGGUGCAAGCAAACCCUCAAAUUCAGCAGCCUAUGCUUCAAGAGCUAGGGAAACAAAAUCCACAUCUUGUGCAUCUCAUACAAGAGCCUCAGGCUGACUUUUUGUGCCUGAUAAAUGAACUUGUCGAGGGAGGAGAAGGGUGAGAUGAAUGCAGUUUUUUUUUAUUAUUUAUUAGUUUUUGUUAUCUACUUGACACAUGCUAAUUUUUCAUUUUUAUUAUACAAUCAGGAACGUUCUGAGCCUGAUGGCUUCAGCCAUGCCACAGGCUAUGACUGUAACUCCUGAGGAGCGGGCAGCCAUUGAACGUGUAUGUUUCUAAUCUUUAUUUAACCUCUGUGUAGUCCCUCUCUUGUUUGUGCUUUUAUCCAAGAGCCAAGAUGGCUACUCAAGAACAUUUAUUGCAUUUUUUUUAUUCUUAAACAUAUAAUUUAGACGGUUGAAACCUUUACUACACUGUUUUAUAGUUAAU
Molecule: long non-coding RNA, 810 nt
Organism: Humulus lupulus (European hop)
Lineage: Eukaryota; Viridiplantae; Streptophyta; Magnoliopsida; Rosales; Cannabaceae
Exons: 2
Source: RefSeq, a predicted model, not a curated record